ACACAUGCAAGUCGAACGAAGCUUGACGGAUGAUUUCUUCGGAAUGAAACCAGAUAUGACUUAGUGGCGGACGGGUGAGUAACACGUGAGCAACCUGCCUUUCAGAGGGGGAUAACGGCUGGAAACGGUCGCUAAUACCGCAUGAUGUGUUCGGAUGGCAUCAUCUGAACAUCAAAGAUUUAUCGCUGAAAGAUGGGCUCGCGUCUGAUUAGAUAGUUGGUGGGGUAACGGCCUACCAAGUCUACGAUCAGUAGCCGGACUGAGAGGUUGAACGGCCACAUUGGGACUGAGAUACGGCCCAGACUCCUACGGGAGGCAGCAGUGGGGAAUAUUGCACAAUGGGGGAAGCCCUGAUGCAGCAACGCCGCGUGAAGGAUGACGGUUUUCGGAUUGUAAACUUCUUUUCUUGGUGACGAAGACAGUGACGGUAGCUAAGGAAUAAGCAUCGGCUAACUACGUGCCAGCAGCCGCGGUAAUACGUAGGAUGCAAGCGUUAUCCGGAUUUACUGGGUGUAAAGGGAGCGCAGGCGGGACUGCAAGUUGGAUGUGAAAUACCGUGGCUUAACCACGGAACUGCAUCCAAAACUGUAGUUCUUGAGUGAAGUAGAGGCAAGCGGAAUUCCGAGUGUAGCGGUGAAAUGCGUAGAUAUUCGGAGGAACACCAGUGGCGAAGGCGGCUUGCUGGGCUUUAACUGACGCUGAGGCUCGAAAGUGUGGGGAGCAA
Molecule: ribosomal RNA, 724 nt
Filed under: uncultured bacterium
Lineage: Bacteria
Description: bacterial SSU rRNA
Rfam family: Bacterial small subunit ribosomal RNA
Source: RNAcentral